CCUUUUGAGCUCGGUCUCGUGGGUUUUGAAGAGUUUCAAAGCCUUUGGAUUCGCGGGAUUGGGAUCUCUUGGCGUACUUUUUCGUACGGUUAGUCAACAUCGGUUUUGAAUGUCAUAAAAUGACUGGAGGAAUGUAUGCUACGAUCUCGUAUUGAAGUGUAUAGCCAUUGGUAGAUGUGAUGUUUGAGACCGAGGAUUGCAACGGAUACCCUU
RNAcentral lists this ribosomal RNA (213 nucleotides) under Glomus sp. j7-caled. Its description in RNAcentral is "partial 28S ribosomal RNA". The record is from RNAcentral. Lineage: Eukaryota; Fungi; Glomeromycota; Glomeromycetes; Glomerales; Glomeraceae.